This 1676-nucleotide unclassified non-coding RNA is filed under the name Hevea brasiliensis (rubber tree). The record is from RNAcentral. Lineage: Eukaryota; Viridiplantae; Streptophyta; Magnoliopsida; Malpighiales; Euphorbiaceae.
UCCUUACCCUUUAUUUUGGUUCAGGUAAAAUUUUUCUCUAGUUUGGCUAUCGUAUUAAAGGCCGUGAACUGAGUAGUGGUAAAAAUCUUCAGCUUGCAACCCAACAAUUGGUAGUUUUAGAAAUUAGAACUGAGAGGGGCAACUAGUGUAAAACUGCAGAAUCAUAGAACUGUCUCCAAAAUUCCCAUUUUAGGACCCUACGUCAAUGGAUCACAAGUAGGCAAGGGCCGAGGGCCUUCUAAUAUUGCUAAUAUGUUAUUUCCAUAAAUUCUUGGAGAUAUAACAAAAUGUUUAUCAUUAUACAUUUACUAGAGUUGAGUUUGUCAAUUUGCAGUAGUUUCUUUCAAAGCUAUUAGUGUUAUUUGGUUGUACUGGUUAGCUUGACUUAAAGAUUUAGUUUCAUGCAUGGUAAGAUGUAGAAGCAUUUGAAGAAGAAGAAGAUAACUAAAUAAAUACUUUCACCUUCAUUAUUUAAUAAAAAAAUAAAAAGGAUUCAUUGGGCAUGUCUAUUAGGGGGAGCUUGCGGAUGCAUCCCAAUUUGUCUAGGAGAACUUGAAAGAUAUAUUCCUUGGGUAACUUAGAAUUCCCUAUUAGUACUCACUUCUGCCUACAUUGUUCAAUGAUCUUCUAUUAAAUUGCUGAGUCUUUAAUUUCUUAAGCUGUUGAGCAUGGUUCUAAUAUUCUUACAGUCCAUUGUUAGCCGUAUGUGCACAAUCUACUUUACUUUGCGUAAUAUUCAGUUCUGAUUGCUGCUUCAGAAUCAGGCUUUAGGGGACUCUGAAGCUGCCAAUAUUUGUCUAUCUAUGUUGAUGUUUUCUAUUUUUCUGUGGUUGCGAUGUUGUUAUUUAGGAUAGGUGAACAAUGGGUCUGAGGCAUUAAUAACUUAAAAUGAAUUUCACUUAGAUUUUUGAGGUUGCUUAUUCUUGAAAUGAAGCUCCGUAAAGUGUAAAGCAUAGCUAUUCACAUGAAAUUGCAACAAAGCUUUCUAGAGUAGGCAUUUACACGCAUGCCCAGAAAAUACAGACUGGCAUACUCCACAACAAAAAUAUGAGAAAGUGCUGCUUAUGAUGCCCCGAUACAGUGACUGACUAGGAGGGGUACGGGAUGAUGGGGGAAGAAAAGAGACUGAAAAUUUGAAAUUCUAAAUAGAUUAGCAUGAGAAUGCCACUCUAACACUGAGUAGGAGGUAGGGAGGAAAUUUCUAAAGUGUGUCCCAAAAGAGUGUCUGACUAUGGUGGAUGGGUGACAGAGAGAACCCAUUUUGUGGCUUGCUGCAAAUAUGUGGGAUGGAACUUCAUUGAGGUAGAGCCUGUCUUUAGGCAUGCAUGUUUCUGUGCUGUAAUAAAACACUUUUUCCCAACUAAUUGAAGAAGAUAUUCUCAUAGAUUAGAAAUUUAUUUUGAGCAGUGCUGCAAACCCUAAAUGGGCAAUUUAGGCCUGGAUUUGUAGAAGCUCAGUUUGAGUAGUAACCAGUAUGACAUUUUCAGCUAAAGCAGUAAAGCUUGAAGGGACUCUUUUCAAAUCAUUUGGAAUGCUAUAAUGUAUUAGUAGGAAGGGGAGGUCUGGUUCUAUUAGAAGAGUCUCAACAUUCUUCUCUUUGGUUAUUAAAGGUUGAGUGGUCUUGGGAAUUGGAACGGUGAACCCACCAUGUUAGGACAAGAAGUAAUUGUCUAAAC